This 1289-nucleotide long non-coding RNA is filed under the name Helianthus annuus (common sunflower). RNAcentral describes it as "hypothetical non coding rna". Lineage: Eukaryota; Viridiplantae; Streptophyta; Magnoliopsida; Asterales; Asteraceae. The record is from RNAcentral.
UUUUCAUCCACACCAAAACAUAAAUAUAUAUCACACAUUCUACCUAUUUCACAAAUGGAAUUUCCUACAGAUUCAUUUUCGAUGGACAGCGAUAGCUAAACAUCUUCCGACAAUGAGACGCUUGAAUUUUUCGAGAAGGUGUAUAACGCACUUGAAGCAAGUUCGAGUCGCCCAAAGAAGAAAAUGGUGGAUCGUGAUCGUAUACAUGUCAACGAAGUGUUAAUGAACGAUUAUUUUGUGGAGGAUCCGGUCUACAAUGCCGAAACAUUUAGAGAUCGGUUUUGUUUACCAAAAGAAUUUUUUUAAAGAUUGUUGGAGACAUUGAAGCAAGCGAAGAAUGGUUUCAAGAACGUUACGACGGGAGGGGCAAACACAGUUUCACACCGAUACAAAAAUACACAUCCGCCAUUCGCCAACUAGCGACAGUUUUUGCGUAAACCGAUGAGACACGACAUCUCACGUAUUUACGCCGCACAUGAGGCUAGAUGGCAUUUUCCAAGGAUGCUCGGUAGCAUCGAUUGUACACAUAUCGAAUGGAGAAAUUGUCCAAGAGAGUUGUGAGGGGCGUAUGUUACGGGUGACGUCAAAAGACCAACCAUCAUACUUGAAGCGGUGACGUCGAAUGGUUUAUGGUUUUGGCAUUCAUAUUUUGGUGUUCCAGGUUCAAACAACGACAUCAAUGUUUUGCACACGUCGCCGUUGUUUCAAACCGUAACAGAUGGUAUCACACCCUUCUGUCCAUUCUAUGUUAACGGAAGACAUUAUCGACGAUGCUUUCUUCUUGUGGAUGGUAUCUACCCAUCAUGGUCUGUUUUUGUGAAAGCUCCUUCAUUUCCUGUCGAGGUUAAAGAAAAGACGUUCAAAAGGUUGCAAGAAUCGACAAGAAAAGAUGUUGAGAGGGCUUUUGGUGUUUUAAAGGGUAGAUGGGGCAUACUAAACCGACCGGUUCGUGCAAUGAAUAAGAAAACAAUACAUAGCAUAGUAUAUGCAUGUAUCAUAUUGCACAAUAUGCUAAUCAAAGAAGACGGACGUGCGAUAUCUCUAGAUUGGGUGCCGGAUUUUCCUACACAAGUUCCCGUUCCGGAAAAUGUCCAAUAAGACUUGCGUGAUGAGGAAAUUCACUUUCAAUUGAGAUACGAUUUAAUUGAACUUGCAGGUUCUUUAGGUUUGGAAUUUCCUGAUUCGGACGAGGAGUAGGUUUUCUUUAUGAAUGUUUUUAUUUUUAUUGUAGUCUAAAAUAUUUCUAGAAAUAUUGUUUUUAAUUUAAAUGAAAUUUAUAAUUUUAUUGU